Molecule: ribosomal RNA, 424 nt
Filed under: uncultured Fusobacteriaceae bacterium
Lineage: Bacteria; Fusobacteriati; Fusobacteriota; Fusobacteriia; Fusobacteriales; Fusobacteriaceae
Description: bacterial SSU rRNA
Rfam family: Bacterial small subunit ribosomal RNA
Source: RNAcentral
UGGGAAUAUUGGACAAUGGACCAAAAGUCUGAUCCAGCAAUUCUGUGUGCACGAUGAAGUUUUUCGGAAUGUAAAGUGCUUUCAGUUGGGACGAAGUAAGUGACGGUACCAACAGAAGAAGCGACGGCUAAAUACGUGCCAGCAGCCGCGGUAAUACGUAUGUCGCAAGCGUUAUCCGGAUUUAUUGGGCGUAAAGCGCGUCUAGGCGGUUUGGUAAGUCUGAUGUGAAAAUGCGGGGCUCAACUCCGUAUUGCGUUGGAAACUGUCAAACUAGAGUACUGGAGAGGUGGGCGGAACUACAAGUGUAGAGGUGAAAUGCGUAGAUAUUAGGAGGAACACCAGUGGCGAAGGCGGAUUGCUGGACGAUAACUGACGGUGAGGCGCGAAAGUGUGGGGAGCAAACAGGAUUAGAUACCCUGGUAGU